Molecule: ribosomal RNA, 413 nt
Filed under: uncultured bacterium
Lineage: Bacteria
Description: bacterial SSU rRNA
Rfam family: Bacterial small subunit ribosomal RNA
Source: RNAcentral
GAUGAACGCUGGCGGCGUGCCUAACACAUGCAAGUCGAGCGAUUCUCUUCGGAGAAGAGCGGCGGACGGGUGAGUAACGCGUGGGUAACCUGCCCUGUACACACGGAUAACAUACCGAAAGGUAUGCUAAUACGAGAUAAUAUGCUUUUAUCGCAUGGUAGAAGUAUCAAAGCUCCGGCGGUACAGGAUGGACCCGCGUCUGAUUAGCUAGUUGGUAAGGUAACGGCUUACCAAGGUGACGAUCAGUAGCCGACCUGAGAGGGUGAUCGGCCACAUUGGAACUGAGACACGGUCCAAACUCCUACGGGAGGCAGCAGUGGGGAAUAUUGCACAAUGGGCGAAAGCCUGAUGCAGCAACGCCGCGUGAGCGAUGAAGGCCUUCGGGUCGUAAAGCUCUGUCCUCAAGGAAGAUA